GGAGCCUGAGAAACGGCUACCACUUCCAAGGAAGGCAGCAGGCACGCAAAUUACCCAAUCCCGGAACGGGGAGGUAGUGACGAAAAAUACGGAUACGGGACUCACAUGAGGCUCCGUAAUUCGAAUGAGUACAAUUUAAAUCCUUUAACGAGGAUCAACUGGAGGGCAAGUCUGGUGCCAGCAGCCGCGGUAACUCCAGCUCCAGAAGCGUAUAUUAAAGUUGUUGCAGUUAAAAAGCUCGUAGUUGGAUCUGGGUUGCAUGGCUACAUGCCGUCGCUCGUGUGUUCGUUGCGGUUACUGCCGUGGCGGUCAUAUGAGUCGGUCUCGUGGUUGUGCUUCCUUUCUGCUGUGUCUGUUUACAGGUGUCAGCGUGGCUGGUGGGCUCGCCUGCCGGUCUGUUGGCAUGCUUCUUGAUGCUCUUAACCGGGUGUCGGAGGCGGACAGCACGUUUACUUUGAACAAAUCUGAGUGCUCAAAGCAGGCCUUUGUGCCUGAAAGUUCUUGCAUGGAAUAAUGGAAUAGGACUUCGGUUCUAUUUUGUUGGUUUUCGGAUCCGAAGUAAUGGUUAAGAGGGACAGACGGGGGC
RNAcentral lists this ribosomal RNA (586 nucleotides) under Petasiger sp. Type_IV. RNAcentral's name for it is "SSU rRNA". It matches the Rfam family "Eukaryotic small subunit ribosomal RNA", at positions 391 to 889 of the family's 1831-position model. Lineage: Eukaryota; Metazoa; Platyhelminthes; Trematoda; Plagiorchiida; Echinostomatidae. The record is from RNAcentral.